This 22-nucleotide small nuclear RNA is filed under the name Arabidopsis thaliana (thale cress). RNAcentral describes it as "snRNA_13758". Lineage: Eukaryota; Viridiplantae; Streptophyta; Magnoliopsida; Brassicales; Brassicaceae. The record is from RNAcentral.
GUAAAAAUUAACCAAAAUCGAU